RNAcentral lists this ribosomal RNA (494 nucleotides) under uncultured bacterium. RNAcentral's name for it is "partial 16S ribosomal RNA". It matches the Rfam family "Bacterial small subunit ribosomal RNA", at positions 28 to 507 of the family's 1533-position model. The record is from RNAcentral.
GACGAACGCUGGCGGCGUGCUUGACACAUGCAAGUCGAACGGAAAGGCCUGCUUUCCCUUGUGGAUUGCGGGUACUCGAGUGGCGAACGGGUGAGUAACACGUGAGUGAUCUGCCCCCAACUUGGGUAUAAGCCUGGGAAACUGGGUCUAAUUCCCGAUAGGACUGCAGGGUGGUGCCUGUGGUGGAAAACGAUUUUCUAGUGGUUGGGGAUGAGCUCGCGGCCCAUCAGCUUGUUGGUGGGGUAAUGGCCUACCAAGGCGGCGACGGGUAGCCGGCCUGAGAGGGUGGACGGCCACAUUGGGACUGGGAUACGGCCCAGACUCCUACGGGAGGCAGCAGUGGGGAAUAUUGCACCAUGGGCGGAAGCCUGAUGCAGCGACGCCGCGUGGGGGAUGACGGCCUUCGGGUUGUAAACUCCUUUCGACCGCGAGGAAGCCACCUGGUUGGAAGGGUGGUGACGGUAGUGGUAGAAGAAGCACCGGCUAACUACGUG